UUUCAAGUCUUUGCUUUUUAGUAUCUUAUGUCUGUGCUGUCAACAACGUUUCUGGUAUUGAGGUGUUUAUGAUGGGGUCAUAAAACUGCAGUGUGAAGUACGUGAUUGAACUGCUAUGAUAAUUUAUUGUUCAUGAUACUUAGAACAAAAAUGAUCCAUGGCGUGUUUGAGAAUUCCACAUAAAAAUAGGUGUUACAGGUCGACCAUGAAAUUACAAGUGUCUUUGUCAUACGUGCUCUCCAAACCACAUAGUCUCUGUUGCUGGAGAUUCUACCCCUUGAUCCAGAGAUCUCAGCCUGAAGUGGCAGGUGAGUAUCAGCAGGGUGUAGAGUGCUCAUUGCUUUGGGAUGUUUCUAGGAGAAGGAGUGAAGCUAGGCCAAGUGUGGUAAGGCUCAGUAGAGUGAUUUGAGAAAUGCAGAAGGGUUUGUUUCCUCAAUCCUUUGGCAUCUGAUUCCUUGGCAGAAAACACUGGUAGCCACUGAUGCAGGUACUGCACAUUGUAAGGCAGGUUCCUGAUCUGACUUGGGUUAGAAAUCGCUGCUUCGGCCCUUUUUUUUUUUUUUUUUGUGGGUUCUACUCCUACCACAAAGUUUAAUUCACACUUUCAAGGUUCACUAAAGACUAUUCAGAAUAGCUAUUCUGAGUGUAAUGCUGUCUUAAAGUACCUCAGCCUCAUUGUAAAGCUUUUGCAAAAACAAACCAUGAAAUAAACCCAAAACAGAGCCUUCUUAUUUUCAUAUAAUCCUGGAUAAUUUUAGCUUUUCCUGAAAGCCAAUCAUAAUGCUUACAUUCUGUGUCCUACUUUUCUCCUGGGGUGUAGGAAAAACAACUGUGACAUAAUAAUCUUUCUGUAGCUAUCCUGCUUCUGUUGUUAUAUCUGUGCUUGAUUAUGUCACAGUUCUACUCAAGAAAGGUAACUGAGAAGCUCAGUAUGAAGCUGCAGAGGCAAAGACAUCCAUCCUUAGCUUUGCCAACCUACAGGGAGCUCAGAUGGGAAACACCUCUUUCACUGCAUAAUUUUCAUUCCCAGAACUUCAGUUCCAAAAGUAGAGUGGUUUAGCUUUUACUUGAUUUGGAAGCCUUGUGGUUUUUCUAUCUUUAAUGAUAUUAAAAAGCAACAACAACAACAACAACAACAAAACACUUAAUUUAGCUGAGAAAUUUGCCACUAUAUGAUAAAGUGAAACCUCAGCAUGUCAGGCACAUUAUUUUGUGCAAGGUUUCUGAGUACUCUGUUCUUGAUGGAGGGUGAGAGUUUGUCCAGAGGGACGCGUCCUCUACUAGAGAAACACCAAAAGCUCUGAAGGUCUUACAUUACAAACUUGCUGGCUUGUUAUUUACUAAUUGAAAUCCCUUUCAUAAUGUUGUUAGUAACACAUCAUGUAUGUGGGAAGGAUUUUAAGCGUAUGUGCUGUGUAUUCCUUAGCUCUGUCCUUGUCUCAUUUCCUGCAAUGGGGUUACAAGGGCUGGACUGAGCCAUAAGUGGAAACCAGUCAGAAUGAUGUUCUGAAGCUUCUGCACGUGUAUGCACAUUUGUCGUGGGAGUGGUUGGUUGGUUUUCUUUUAACUGCUCUGCAUAAUGACCGGGUAAACAAUGAACAAAGACACCUUAAAAAAUAUUAAGAUUUAUUUUACUACUGAAACCUGGUGUAGCCAACUCUUCAGAGCUCCUCAAACCUCAUUUAUGCUUUCCUCUAAUUUAAAAAUUCUGAGGCUGAUCCUACCAUUGAGAGCUGCUCUUGGUAUUAGAUACGAUGCUUCUAAUUUCUGGUUUGUGUUGUGACCUGCUUAAGGAGAUUAAACGAUGCAGGAUAAUUGAUUUCUCAUCUGAGAGUCAGACUGAAAGCACUAAAUCAAUUCUGUCCUCUUACGUUUUGUUGCCAUUGAAAUUUCUUUAAAGGAGCUGAUGUUUCUUCUUUCCCAGAGUAAUAAACUAGGUAAUAC
This is a long non-coding RNA of Gallus gallus (chicken), 1944 nucleotides long. The record is from Ensembl. Lineage: Eukaryota; Metazoa; Chordata; Aves; Galliformes; Phasianidae.